This 174-nucleotide non-coding RNA is filed under the name Glycine max (soybean). RNAcentral's name for it is "Bacterial small subunit ribosomal RNA". It matches the Rfam family "Bacterial small subunit ribosomal RNA", at positions 1200 to 1375 of the family's 1533-position model. The record is from Rfam by way of RNAcentral. RNAcentral also lists the same sequence under 1 other name. Lineage: Eukaryota; Viridiplantae; Streptophyta; Magnoliopsida; Fabales; Fabaceae.
GGUUAAGAAAUAGGAGAAAAUAAUGGCACAUCAGGGACAAAGGAUCGCGAUCCCCCGAGGGUGACCUAACUCCAUAAACCCGUCCUCAGUUCAGAUUGUAGGCUGCAACUCGCCUGCAUGAAGUCGGAAUUGCUAGUAAUCGCCGGUCAGCCAUACGGCGGUGAAUUCAUUCCC